This 397-nucleotide RNase P RNA is filed under the name Acidobacteriota bacterium. RNAcentral's name for it is "RNase P RNA component class A". It matches the Rfam family "Bacterial RNase P class A". Rfam says of the family: Ribonuclease P (RNase P) is a ubiquitous endoribonuclease, found in archaea, bacteria and eukarya as well as chloroplasts and mitochondria. Its best characterised activity is the generation of mature 5'-ends of tRNAs by cleaving the 5'-leader elements of precursor-tRNAs. The record is from RNAcentral. Lineage: Bacteria; Pseudomonadati; Acidobacteriota.
GGAGAGCUCCAGGCGGUCGCCGCCCGGCGUACCGGGGGGAGGAAAGUCCGAACUCCAACGGGCAGCAUGCUCGCUAACGGCGAGGCGCGGCAACGCGACGGAAAGUGCAACAGAGAGCAGACCGCCUGGGCUCUCGGAGGCGACUUCGGGAGGUCAGGUAAGGGUGAAAGGGUGCGGUAAGAGCGCACCGCUCCGCCGGCGACGGUCGGAGGCUAGGCAAACCCCAUGCGGAGCAAGACCAAAUAGGGAGGUGGAGUCGCGGGCCGCUCGUCCCGCCCGAGGAAACUCGGCUGCCUCCGGGUAGGUUGCUCGAGGUCGGCGGCAACGUCGAUCCUAGAGGAAUGACCGCACCCCCGCUCGCGGGGGAACAGAAUUCGGCUUACGGAGCUCUCCAGCA